RNAcentral lists this long non-coding RNA (256 nucleotides) under Elaeis guineensis (African oil palm). RNAcentral describes it as "long non-coding RNA (EGUI_LNC036274)". The record is from RNAcentral. Lineage: Eukaryota; Viridiplantae; Streptophyta; Magnoliopsida; Arecales; Arecaceae.
AAGUCUAAACUGGCAUGGAGGAAUAUAUUUUGAUAUACUUCUUCAAUUCUCGAAUGGAUUAUUCCCACACAUCUCAUUUGAUGAUACGGAUGUAUCUACACCUCUAUUCCAUUCAUCAAAUAGGAAGACUGACUUUUGACCCUUAGAUCCCCUUCCUCUAACUCAAAUCUAACUAUGUGAAGCUUCUAAAUAUAAAAAUUUAAAGCUAAAUGAGCGACAACGAGCUUAGCUACUUAACUUACUUGCUAUAAUGGCU